CCUAGAACAUCAGGUGGUCCUAGAACAUCAGGACCUCCUAGAACAUCAGGUGGUCCUAGAACAUCAGGUGGUCCUAGAACAUCAGGACCUCCUAGAACAUCAGGUGGUCCUAGAACAUCAGGUGGUCCUACAACAUCAGGACCUCCUAGAACAUCAGGUGGUCCUAGAACAUCAGGUGGUCCUGAAACAUGGUGUGAUCCAUUUAAUCGCG
Molecule: long non-coding RNA, 211 nt
Organism: Melanotaenia boesemani (Boeseman's rainbowfish)
Lineage: Eukaryota; Metazoa; Chordata; Actinopteri; Atheriniformes; Melanotaeniidae
Exons: 4
Source: RefSeq, a predicted model, not a curated record